CAAGAAAUAUGUGCAAAUAAACCUUUCCUUCUCUCUGUCUCUCUCUCUCUCUCUCCCACCCGGACUGUAAUGUAAUCCAGCAGUUGCCGACGAUGGCGACACCGCCGACAGAGCCCAUUCCUUUCUUCCAUGGUCGCCGACUGAGAGCUCUUUUCCCAUUUCCCAGAUUCCCAUGAUUGAAGUACUGUUGAGAUUUUGAUAAUGGGACUCAAACGCAGACUCUGCCCAACCCUCUCUCUUAAUCUCGGCCAAACUUCAAUCUCCUAUGCCAGAUUUGAACUCAACAAUGCUAAACCCAGACUAGGUCCUCCAAUUUUCGGCUUCAAAAACAACUCCGAUGAUGACUGUGGCAAAAUGAAGCUCUGCUGUGAGGAGGAGAAGAGUUUGCUAUUGGUUUGCCGUUUGGAGAAGAAGCUUUGAACGUGUUUAGGGAAUAUUGGAAGUUUUAAUUGGGUUAGGAUUGAGUGUAAUAAGGUGUAUUGAGUUUAAAUUUGUUAGUUAAUAUAUCUUCUCAUGAUUGGCUGGUAUAAAAUGUGUCUUUUAGGCCAGCUCUAUUAUUAUUAUUAUUAUUUUGACAAGUAUUAUUAUUAUUUUGACAAGUAUUAUUAUUAUUAUUUCUAGUGAGAUUUGAGCUUAAAAUCUAUCUUUUGAAAAGACAAAAGAUUCGUAGAGCUAGAUUAUAUAUGUCAAGUACGUAAAUUAGUGUGGAUUAUUGUGAAUAAAAUAUUAAACAACGUGGUGUUAUUGGAUUUGUCGAGAAAAAUAUUUAUGCCACC
Molecule: long non-coding RNA, 776 nt
Organism: Quercus lobata
Lineage: Eukaryota; Viridiplantae; Streptophyta; Magnoliopsida; Fagales; Fagaceae
Exons: 3
Source: RefSeq, a predicted model, not a curated record